AUUGAACGCUGGCGGCAGGCUUAACACAUGCAAGUCGAGCGGGGUGAUGGUGCUUGCACUAUCACUUAGCGGCGGACGGGUGAGUAAUGCUUAGGAAUCUGCCUAUUAGUGGGGGACAACAUCUCGAAAGGGAUGCUAAUACCGCAUACGUCCUACGGGAGAAAGCAGGGGAUCACUUGUGACCUUGCGCUAAUAGAUGAGCCUAAGUCGGAUUAGCUAGUUGGUGGGGUAAAGGCCUACCAAGGCGACGAUCUGUAGCGGGUCUGAGAGGAGGAUCCGCCACGCUGGGACUGAGACACGGCCCAGACUCCUACGGGAGGCAGCAGUGGGGAAUAUUGGACAAUGGGGGGAACCCUGAUCCAGCCAUGCCGCGUGUGUGAAGAAGGCCUUAUGGUUGUAAAGCACGUUAAGCGAGGAGGAGGCUCUUUUGGUUAAUACCCAAGAUGAGUGGACGUUACUCGCAGAAUAAGCACCGGCUAACUCUGUGCCAGCAGCCGCGGUAA
RNAcentral lists this ribosomal RNA (503 nucleotides) under uncultured bacterium. RNAcentral's name for it is "partial 16S ribosomal RNA". It matches the Rfam family "Bacterial small subunit ribosomal RNA", at positions 30 to 523 of the family's 1533-position model. The record is from RNAcentral.